UGGGGAAUAUUGCACAAUGGGCGCAAGCCUGAUGCAGCCAUGCCGCGUGUAUGAAGAAGGCCUUCGGGUUGUAAAGUACUUUCAGCAGUGAGGAAGGUGGUAGUGUUAAUAGCACUAUCAUUUGACGUUAGCUGCAGAAGAAGCACCGGCUAACUCCGUGCCAGCAGCCGCGGUAAUACGGAGGGUGCGAGCGUUAAUCGGAAUUACUGGGCGUAAAGCGCAUGCAGGUGGUUUGUUAAGUCAGAUGUGAAAGCCCGGGGCUCAACCUCGGAAUUGCAUUUGAAACUGGCAGACUAGAGUACUGUAGAGGGGGGUAGAAUUUCAGGUGUAGCGGUGAAAUGCGUAGAGAUCUGAAGGAAUACCGGUGGCGAAGGCGGCCCCCUGGACAGAUACUGACACUCAGAUGCGAAAGCGUGGGGAGCAAACAGGAUUAGAUACCCCCGUAGUCC
Molecule: ribosomal RNA, 449 nt
Filed under: uncultured prokaryote
Description: bacterial SSU rRNA
Rfam family: Bacterial small subunit ribosomal RNA
Source: RNAcentral